Molecule: ribosomal RNA, 492 nt
Filed under: uncultured bacterium
Lineage: Bacteria
Description: partial 16S ribosomal RNA
Rfam family: Bacterial small subunit ribosomal RNA
Source: RNAcentral
AGUGAACGCUGGCGGUAGGCCUAACACAUGCAAGUCGAACGGCAGCACAGUAAGAGCUUGCUCUUACGGGUGGCGAGUGGCGGACGGGUGAGGAAUACAUCGGAAUCUACUUUUUCGUGGGGGUUAACGUAGGGAAACUUACGCUAAUACCGCAUACGACCUACGGGUGAAAGCAGGGGAUCUUCGGACCUUGCGCGAUUGAAUGAGCCGAUGUCGGAUUAGCUAGUUGGCGGGGUAAAGGCCCACCAAGGGGACGAUCCGUAGCUGGUCUGAGAGGAUGAUCAGCCACACUGGAACUGAGACACGGUCCAGACUCCUACGGGAGGCAGCAGUGGGGAAUAUUGGACAAUGGGCGCAAGCCUGAUCCAGCCAUACCGCGUGGGUGAAGAAGGCCUUCGGGUUGUAAAGCCCUUUUGUUGGGAAAGAAAAGCAGCAGGUUAAUACCCCGCUGUUCUGACGGUACCCAAAGAAUAAGCACCGGCUAACUUCGUG